This 250-nucleotide unclassified non-coding RNA is filed under the name Aconitum yuparense var. apoiense. The record is from RNAcentral. Lineage: Eukaryota; Viridiplantae; Streptophyta; Magnoliopsida; Ranunculales; Ranunculaceae.
UCGGAACCUGCCCAGUAGAGCGACCCGCGAACAAGUAAAAACAAAACCGGACGGACCGAAGAGGGGCGUAUUCCCCCGAUCGCUCGCCCGUCGGACCACGUUCUCUUCUGCGAUCUCACUGAUCUGCGGGCGGAGGGAUGGGUCGUUGUGUCCUCACAAAACCAAAAAACGGCGCGACAGGCGCCAAGGAAAUCUUAGCAGAAAAAUAGGGUUGCCCCGUCCGCGGAGGCAACUUUCAAAAUCCGAUACU